AGAGUUUGAUCCUGGCUCAGGAUGAACGCUAGCUACAGGCUUAACACAUGCAAGUCGAGGGGAAACGACAUCGAAAGCUUGCUUUUGAUGGGCGUCGACCGGCGCACGGGUGAGUAACGCGUAUCCAACCUGCCCAUCACUUGGGGAUAACCUUGCGAAAGUAAGACUAAUACCCAAUGAUAUCUCUAGAAGACAUCUGAAAGAGAUUAAAGAUUUAUCGGUGAUGGAUGGGGAUGCGUCUGAUUAGCUUGGUUGGCGGGGUAACGGCCCACAAGGCUACGAUCGAGUAGGGGUUCUGAGAGGAAGGUCCCCCANAUUGGAACUGAGACACGGUCCAAACUCCUACGGGAGGCA
This 354-nucleotide ribosomal RNA is filed under the name uncultured bacterium. RNAcentral's name for it is "bacterial SSU rRNA". It matches the Rfam family "Bacterial small subunit ribosomal RNA", at positions 8 to 350 of the family's 1533-position model. The record is from RNAcentral.